Long non-coding RNA from Acipenser ruthenus (sterlet), 3111 nucleotides. RefSeq lists it as uncharacterized. Lineage: Eukaryota; Metazoa; Chordata; Actinopteri; Acipenseriformes; Acipenseridae. The transcript has 3 exons. The record is from RefSeq and is a predicted model, not a curated record.
CGAACUACAGGCAACAUCAUAGAUGAUGAGCGAAAUAUGGAUUACGUAUUAUUGCGUUUUAUUUAAGCCUACCCGCGUAUUACCAACUCAAAAUGCGUAGCGGAUACGCAAAAUGCGUAGAGGUUAGCAGGUCUGUAUUAUUGUUUUGUGUUCGAGAUUUGUUUCUGUUUAAACCUUUUAUUUAUUUUUGUUGUGUUUGAAAAUAAACGAUGCACAGCGUCUUUUUGCAACUGCAGUAUUUGUGGUUUUGUUUUCUUUCCUGCUUCUGGCCUGAUGUAAAAGCUGAUGGAACAGAAAUAUUUUGCAGGACAAACUGGGAAGGGACAACCCGUACAUUGCUUUAAUCACCAGCUACACUUGGUCAUUGUGCAUGCCAUGUCCUCAGAAGAAAAGGUAGCAGAAUUCUUCAAUGUGUGCAGCUCAUUGUACAAAUUUCUAAGAAAACCAACUGUUGCUGUUCUCUACAAAGGCCAGAAACUUAAACGAUUGCUCAAGGAGCGUUGGACUGGGCAUUGAGGUUGUUGUGAAGUCGUUUAAUAGCAAUAGACAUGGAACAGAAGUUAAGAUUGAAGCUAUUGGAUUAUUGAAGCAGGUGUCAGCUGUAGACUUCAAAUUCAUUGCACACAUGGUGCAAAAUUUUUUGAGUAUACUGGACACUCCAAACAAAAUGCUUCAGGGAGAAAAAGCGAUCUUCUUUCUGCUGUAGAGGUCGUUCGUAAUGCUUCAGAGUGUAUUGCGAAACUGUGUUGUGAUGCAGUUUUUAACAAUCUGCUGAAUGACAGUGGUGAAACAACUGUGCCAUGCAAGAAACAGAUAAUUUUACAUUUGAGCAAGCACCUUGAAGACUUUGUGGUUGAGGGAUCUGUUGGCCAGCCAGGGGGUGAAGAUGAUAAUGUACGUCAGCUCAAGAGGCUGUUUAUGGUGUGCUGGAUGCCGUACUAGUUGAACUGUCGGCUCGUUUUAAUGAAUGUAAUACUAAACUAAUUGCAGUGCUCAGUCUGCCAAUCCCAAUAGCCCAAUGUUUCUACAACUUGCUAAUUUGCAACCCUUAGUUAAUUUAAUCAAGAUGGACGUUGUUGAAUCUGAAUUCGUAGUUGCACGUCAGUUUCUACAGAAGCAGAUUAAAUCAAACGAAAAUGAAAACUGGACGACCCAGUCUGUGCUGAAAACGUUUCACUGCGCCUUGAAGCAAUGCCAAGUGUUAAGACAGUGCUGCAACUUGAUUUGACUUUUGGCUUCUACUGCUAUGUGCGAAAACUCAUUUUCUACCCUUUCCAACUUACUGACAACACACAGAAGAGGCAUGCGUCACAAUCGCAAAGCGCACCUCAUACAGUUGGCCUUUGAGAAGGAUUUGACCCUCAAGUUCCGUGGUGAGUGGAAACAAGUAGUAAUGAGAAAGUUCAAUGCAAAAAGGAAGCGAAGACUGCAGCUUUACUGAGGGCUUCUUCAUGACAUUGGGUCGUGGUGAGCACACACAGAGGGCAAUUUAGGGUGACCAAUCAACCUGGACAGCAUGUCUUUGGACUGUGGGAGGAAGUACCUGGAGAAAACCCACUUGAACACGGAGAGAACAUGCAAACUCCACACAGACAGUACCCUAGGCUGGAUUUGAACUUAGGACCCUGGUGCUGUGAGGCAGCAGCGCUAACCACUACGCCACUGUGCCGCACCCAAUUUUUUAUGUUGACAUUAUUUUGGUUCUUUGCUUGUAGUUUAUAAUCUGUUUGGAACAUGCAGAUAUUUCACAAACAAGUAAGAGCCCUAACAACUGGAGUAGUGGUUAGGGCUCUGGACUCUUGACCGGAGGGUCGUGGCUUCAAUCCCAGGUGGGGACACUGCUGCUGUACCCUUGAGCAAGGUGCUUUACCUAAAUUGCUCCAGUAAAAAACCCAACUGUAUAAAUGGGUCAUUGUAUGUAAAAAUAAUGUGAUAUCUUGUAACAAUUGUAAGUCACCCUGGAUAAGGGCAUCUGCUAAGAACUUAUUAAUAAUAAUAAUAAUAAUAAUAAUAAUAAUAAUAAUAAUAAUAAUAAUAAUAAUAAAACAGAUUUUAAAAAAGUGCUGCCGCCUCAUGCUACCUAAUGACUUCAAGUGUUGCUAGUAUGACAUUGCAAGCUACAGGUCUGAGCACUUUUGCCAAAUUAAUUUAAGUCUGACUGCACUUGAUUUUAAGGCUUAAGCAACUGGUUUUAUGAACAUAUUUUUUAUGUCCUGAUAUUGUCUUUGUUUCAGUUGAUCCUAAGCUCCUGGUUGGAUAUGACUGGUAGUAUUCUGUGGUUAACAUUCCUGAAGGACUAAGACACUACCCUCUGCUGAUGGUCAGGCAGACCCUGUGCACCUUGGCACAGCCACUGGUCCUCCUCUCACCAAGCAAACUGGCAGCAAUAGUUUACAAAAUAGUUUAGAUUUAUACUCUAUAUACUGUAGAUUGCAUUCAGCAUAUUAAAUGUUAUUGUUCCACAAACUGUAUAAUCUUUCCGUUACAAUAAGGUCAGACUCUAGUCAGCAAUGCGGUCACAUGUGCAAUAUUGUUUCUCCCAUUUCUAGCAACUCUGUUGCAUUGCUAUGGUUCCCAAUGGUAAUUAUAUUUUCACACUUUUCUGCUAGGGUUAUGAAGAAUGGGAGGUUGUAGAUUGCGCACUGAAACAGAAUGAACUGUAAUACAUCUUUGUUUUUUAGUGUCAGGACUUUUCAGGGCUGUGUGGAGCAUUGCUCGUUGUGUUAGGAAUACUCAGAGCCUUUUUCCUCGGGCUGUACGUGGACAGGACAAAGAAGUUCAUAAAAGUCACCAAAAUCAGCUUCUGUCUGGCUGCACUGGCCAGCAUUGCUUUUGCUGUGAUUCACUAGACGGCUAACACGUCUCCGGAGCUGUCGCCUUGGGCCAGCACUACCCGGAACAACAAGACCACAGUCACUGUUUAUUGUUAUCACCCACCUCGAGCACUACUGCACGCACCCGGACUGGUGAGUGUGUUCAGUAUUAUUGUGGGGCGGAACGUGUUAUUUAUUGGGUUUUGCAAACCAUUAUUAUCAUUUCCUGCCGAGCUUUACACAUUGGUGUGUAUUGCCAGAGGAUUAUUGUUUGGUCACCAAAUUUAUACAAAAUAAA